This 496-nucleotide ribosomal RNA is filed under the name uncultured bacterium. Its description in RNAcentral is "partial 16S ribosomal RNA". It matches the Rfam family "Bacterial small subunit ribosomal RNA", at positions 28 to 506 of the family's 1533-position model. The record is from RNAcentral.
GAUGAACGCUGGCGGCGUGCCUAAUACAUGCAAGUCGAGCGAACAGACGAGGAGCUUGCUCCUCUGACGUUAGCGGCGGACGGGUGAGUAAAACGUGGAUAACCUACCUAUAAGACUGGGAUAACUUCGGGAAACCGGAGCUAAUACCGGAUAAUAUAUUGAACCGCAUGGUUCAAUAGUGAAAGACGGUUUUGCUGUCACUUAUAGAUGGAUCCGCGCCGCAUUAGCUAGUUGGUAAGGUAACGGCUUACCAAGGCAACGAUGCGUAGCCGACCUGAGAGGGUGAUCGGCCACACUGGAACUGAGCCACGGCCCAGCACCCUACGGGAGGCAGCAGUAGGGAAUCUUCCGCAAGGGGCGAAAGCCUGACGGAGCAACGCCGCGGGAGGGAAGAAGGUCUUCGGAUCGUAAAACUCUUUUAUUAGGGAAGAAAAAAUGUGUAAGUAACUAUGCACGUCUUGACGGUACCUAAUCAAAAAGCCACGGCUAACUACGU